UCGGAGCAAUCUGAAAGGACACUGGCGCACGGGUGAGUAACGCGUAGGUAACCUACCUUCUGCUGGGGGAUAACAUCGGGAAACCGGUGCUAAUACCGCAUAAUGCAGCGGUCACGCAUGUGGCAGUUGUUAAAGAAUUUCGGCAGAAGAUGGGCCUGCGUGUCAUUAGUUAGUUGGUAAGGUAACGGCUUACCAAGACGAUGAUGACUAGGGGGUCUGAGAGGAUGAUCCCCCACACUGGAACUGAGACACGGUCCAGACUCCUACGGGAGGCAGCAGUGAGGAAUCUUGCGCAAUGGGGGAAACCCUGACGCAGCCACGCCGCGUGCCAGAUGAAGGCCCUACGGGUCGUAAAUGGCUUUUGGUCGGGAAGAUAAGCCGGGUUUCGACCUGGUGUGACGGUACCGACUGAAUAAGCACCGGCUAACUCCGUGCCAGCAGCCGCGGUAAUACGGAGGGUGCAAGCGUUGUCCGGAAUCAUUGGGUGUAAAGGGUGCGUAGGCGGAUGCCUAAGUCUGGGGUGAAAUCUUGCAGCUUAACUGUAAAAUUGCCUUGGAUACUGGGUGUCUUGAGUACAGAAGAGGAUGGUGGAAUUCGUAGUGUAGCGGUGAAAUGCAUAGAUAUUACGAAGAACACCGGUGGCGAAAGCGGCCAUCUGGUCUGUUACUGACGCUGAGGCACGAAAGCGUGGGGAGCGAACAGGAUUAGAUACCCUGGUAGUCCACGCCGUAAACGAUGUGUGCUAGUUGUUGGCCUGUAUGGGCCAGUGACGUAGUUAACGCGCUAAGCACACCACCUGGGGAGUACGUUCGCAAGAAUGAAACUCAAAGGAAU
This 834-nucleotide ribosomal RNA is filed under the name marine metagenome. Its description in RNAcentral is "bacterial SSU rRNA". It matches the Rfam family "Bacterial small subunit ribosomal RNA", at positions 74 to 910 of the family's 1533-position model. The record is from RNAcentral.